CCCCAUUGCCAUCCCUAAAGAGAAGGAAUCAAAGUAAUAUCUAGGGUUAAAACUAGAAAGUAACAAAAAUGGUGGAUAAAAUAUGAUGUAUUGGAUGACUAGACGAGGAGGCAAAAGCUGCCAGUGGAGUUGAUCGACCAUGAUUUUGAUCGGGCACAAUUCAUGCGCCGCAUAGAUUCUAGGUUAAUUGAGAGGCUAGACCAUGGUCUUGCCUCCUGCGGUGCAUCUGUUCUGAUAGUUUUGAAAGUUGAAGUACUUAAAUUAUCAAUGGACAAUAGUUCCUGUACUGUUUCUAAAAUUUUCCCCAAGUAAUUAAGAUGUUCAAGUGUCAGAAACAUGGUUUGUUCUGCUAGAAAUCAUGAAUUUAUUAAAUGUAAAAUGCUUAAAACAGUAAAGGAGAGGAAGAAUGCUAUGGAGGCUACAUUGUGUCUAACUUGAUUGAGAGAGAAUGAGGUUACAACAAUACAUAUAUAUAGUUAACACCCCCCCAACCUAGCAUAUAGUUAACCCCCCUCAACCAUAUGCUUGGUAUACAACAAGCAUAAUGGUUGAAAAAGACAUGACUAUAGCCUAUUACAAGAUAACACCCAAUUCAUAAACCCACAUGAUAUGAUAAAGACUAGCCUCCAUCUUGAUUUGCAGCAGAUUUACAAAAGAGGAUAGACAGCUUGCUAGAAGAAUCUCAUAGUUCACAUGGUGAGAGCAAAGGCAGUAGAGCAGCAAUAUGUAAUGCAACUUCAGCAGCAUAGCAGCAAUAAAAUAAACUGAAAAAUCUCUUCAAAUUUGACUAAAUUCUGAUAUAGAGAAAGACUGAAAACUGCAUAUGACUGCCACAAAUUUUCUGAUAUUCAUUUGCACACUUCCAGCAACCAUGGAAAAGCACCACCAAGAAUUUUCCCUUAAUCUGAAACUCCAUAUGCACUCCAGCAGCUCAUAACCAACUGAACUCCUCUCUACACUUCUAAUUAAUUAACUCCAACGGAAGUAAACUAAAUCAACCAUUGGCAGUGUAAUCACACAUGUCUUGAACAAACUACUGCAAAGUUCUCUGAUGCAAACACCAACUAAAUGCAACUAAAACCAAAUGACAGAGAAACCAGAAAUAUCUUCAUCAAAUUCAGACAUGCACUGCACACUAAAGUCAUAGAACUAAUCAGUAAUCCAAAUCAUCAAUGCAAACACCAACUAAAUGCAACUAAAACCAAAUGACAGAGAAACCAGAAAUAUCUUCAUCAAAUUCAGACAUGCACUGCACACUAGAGUCAUAGAACUAAUCAGUAAUCCAAAUCAUCAAGCCGUGCUCACCAGUCCACAAACAAAAAGAUAUAAACUGCUUCGUCACCUUUUUCUCUUGGUUGACGGCAAACGUACUUUGAUAAAGAAAAAUAAAACUGGAAAACUGAUGAAUUGAAGCACAAUAAUUGAGAUCACAGACGGAUUUCAUGAGUCAAGCGAGAGAGUUGACUGAAUCAGAAAAGAGCUCUCCAAUGUCUAUGUAAUUUGAGUGAAGCAUGAUAAAGGAGUGCAACAUCAUAAUAGGAACACAGUAUAGCACUCAAACUACUGAUCUCCAAUCUCAGUAUAUUCACCUCAUAAUCUUUGUUCAUCCUGCUCUACUCUCACAUAAUAAGCAGUAAGUUCCCUUCUAAGAAGCAUAAUUAAUCACCAUAUCAUCACUUACUGAACAUCAAUUCUAGAUAGUAAACACCACCUAUUCUUCAAUUCUAGAUAGUAAACAUCUCCCAAAAUAGGCACAACUAGCAUAUGAAGCCACACAAUCAAGUUGCAAACCAAGUCAUCUAGCCAGAAUCACCAGUCCAAAAGAAACAAGAAAAUUCUUCUUCAAACUUUAAACUUCAACUUAAACUUCAAUUAACAAAUGCAACGGACAAAUGAUGAUACUAGGCAGAGUAAUCGAGAUCACAACCUUGAUAGCAUGAUUCCGACAGAUAGAGAUGACCAAAUCGAAAAGAGAUUACCAUAAGAAGCUGAAAUCUGAAGAUUUUGAUGUUUGCUGAUGGGAGUGAUGCAGACCAAUUCGAAAACCAUAUACUUCCCAAACCACCUCGCGAUUAAUCACCUUUGAAGAACAAGAAGAAGCUCAGACCUCGAAGCUAUCACUGUCGAGGCCAUAACUUUCGGCACCCGAAAUGAACACAGACUCGACCUCAAUCGGAGGAGAACAGGUCGAGGAUGGAAGGCGACUAAUCGGGCCUUGCCGGUGACGAAUAACGACUGGGCUUCACUGAUUAAAGACCGAGGAGAAGGAAUUGACUGAAAUUGGGCUAGGGUUUCUGAAAUUGGGGGAAAAUCAAAUUGAAAACGAAAGAAAUUGAUAACAGCGAAAGCUAAAGAUAGAUGAAAGCAUGAAGUCCACAGGAUCAAGAGCCGAGGCUCUGAUACCAUGCUAGAAAUCAUGGAUUUAUUGAACGUAAAAUGCUGAAAACAGUAAAAGAGAGGAAGAAUGUUAUGGAGGCUACAUUGUGUCUAACUUGAUUGAGAGAGAAUGAGGUUACAACAAUACAUAUAGGGCUUAGAAUAUAGAAUGAUGUAAAUGCCCUUGCGACUUAAUUGUCAUAAACCUAGCGUAUAGACAUAUCAUGGCACUUGUAGAAUAUGCUAAACGAGUCUAAUUAGUUGAGCACUUGAGCAUAUGGACAUAUCAUGGCUCUGUAAGUUUGGAAACCUGAUAAACUCUUUGAGCCCUAUCUGAGGGUUGCGACUUAAUUGUCAUAAACCUAGCGUAUAGACAUAUCAUGGCACUUGUAGAAUAUGCUAAACGAGUCUAAUUAGUUGAGCACUUGAGCAUAUGGACAUAUCAUGGCUCUGUAAGUUUGGAAACCUGAUAAACUCUUUGAGCCCUAUCUGAGGGUAUGCUCAGUCAUAUGUGAUAUGUUUUUUUUUUUCAUACUCAACAUGGCUAGUUGGAAAGGUUUUUCUCAGUAUAGGUCUACCAAGAAACUUCCAUGACUAGCUAGCUUGUGUUAUCCAUGAGAAAGAAACGGCUUUCUUUAUGUUUAAGGAAGAUGGAAAUUGUAUAAUGU
This 3044-nucleotide long non-coding RNA is filed under the name Fragaria vesca (wild strawberry). Its description in RNAcentral is "long non-coding RNA (FVES_LNC001311)". Lineage: Eukaryota; Viridiplantae; Streptophyta; Magnoliopsida; Rosales; Rosaceae. The record is from RNAcentral.